Molecule: non-coding RNA, 7165 nt
Organism: Dermacentor andersoni
Lineage: Eukaryota; Metazoa; Arthropoda; Arachnida; Ixodida; Ixodidae
Source: RefSeq, a predicted model, not a curated record
UGAUGCUGUGUGCUGCCUUCGCCAGGGAUGCGGCAGCGCUACUCUGUGAGCGUAGCUGUGCAGAAGAUGCAGCUGCAAAGGCGUGUUCACAAGUAUGAACACAUAUUCUGAACCUGGAGGAAUCGCAAACACACGGCCUGCAGAGCUCUCAAGUGUGGCCCCUGUAGGCCUGCUGAGAGCAUGGCUCGGCACAGCUUGAAAUCUGCCCUUGAAAAACAGGAAGAGUUUUUCCAGAAAACAACUCUUGACAAGCGAUGACAGUGAGAGCAACUUUUGCUAUUUCGCAGGUCAUAAUUAAAUCUUCCAAACUGUGUGCAGAGGGCAUCUUCAUAGACGAGUGCCUGCUAGAAGUAGCAGAUGCUGUUUGCCAAAGCAGGAAGAGAUCGUUUGAGAAGAUCAGUGUUUUUCAAAAAUUGUUGUUCAAUUAAUUUAAAAACGGUGUUGUAAGACAAAAAUAACAGAUUAUAGAAUCGGUACUCCUAGCUGACACCGCACUUCUGUAAAAUAGCAGGUAAAAUAACCUUUUUUUCUUUCAGGAGCCUUCUGAUAAUUUACACUCAGUGCAUCUUUUUGCUUUGGUGUAGCUUGGCAGGCUUGUGUGAUUGAUCUUAUGGGUCAUUUCUUGCGUGUUCUUGUCUCACAAUACAGACUGCCAUUUGUGUGCUCAAUAUCGUUUUGUCUGUGCUUUGUGCAUUCUUGCUGGCUACUGUUUUUGCAAAAAACCACGAGCAGGAGGUCAUGAAUUCGAUUCAUGACUGCAGUGGCUGCAUUUUGUAUGGGAGUGAAGUGCAAAGAGGCUCAUGCACAGUCGACAGCAAGAGUUUGUGGACCACACAAGCCCACGCCAAACUACCUCUCUGCACCACCUAGCGAUGCAACACCUGCAGCAGCGUUGGGCUGGAAAUGAGUCCUAUGAGUCCUCUUGUUUUUUGUCGGUGCGUCAAUAUCCUUGUACGACAUGGUGCUGUUCUACUUUCUCAACCUCGUCCACAGCCCAGUGAUACGCACUGAUAUCAGCCCAGCGGCGUGCAACUUAAAUUGGUUCCAAUAAUACUGCUGCAAAGACAGGAGCGCGUCACCAUGGCUGCGGAAGAAUGCAUUGUAUGAGAAAGAGAGAAACGGAAAAAAACCUGGUGCCAAGCAAGAACAUUGACACACCAUCAGACAGCAGAAGGGACACAGUUAAAGCCUAGCUCAGUGCCAGCUGACGCACCGGAAGCAUUGCGGAGAGGUCGUUUGGCACACGCCUGCGUGGUCUGUAAACUUUUGCAUUCAACUGUACUUUAACUUUGGUAGCUGGUACAUGUUUUUAACCAGCUGGCAGAAACUUAUUGGUAGCCCCCCGACUAGGUCUCUCAUAGUGUGUGUGUCCUUCUGACGUUAACACCCCACGAUUUUGUUUUUUCGGAAAAAGCAGCUCAUGAACUUGUUGAGCAGGGUAUUCGCAGGGUAUUCUUUCUUUUUUUUCAUUGGCCCUCCCCUUGUGUGACGAGGUGACAAAGAUUUUGGAUAUUCAUGAAGCAGUGCUAGAGCUAAAACAGGUCUUGCUGUCUUGCUAAUUGUCGUGCUUUCCAUUGCAGAACAAGUUGCUGCGGUCUUCCCAAGAGGCCUGCAGCAUUGCAUUGGAAGAAUUGACGACUUGGCCAAUGAUGAAAAAAUCUUUUACAUGCUUUUGUUUGCUCAUUAUGGUUUUGUCUAUGCUCUGUACACCCUUUGUGGUUACAGCUUGUGCAAAAGGCUCGAACGUGGUUGGGUAAACAAGAGAGUGCUGCAUUUAUUUGCUUUUCAAUCUACUUUUUUUAUUUUUUCAAGUCAGUUCUUUUGUGUCUAAACUGUUUGUGGCUUGCCAUUUCUUUUUUUUUUUUUGCACUGUGUAAAUGUUUCUUACGUUGUUCCCAUCUUGUUUUGUUAGAUCAGGAGCUGCUUAAAUCCCAAGAGACAUGGUAAUUUUCUGAAUUCAGCGAAUGUUAAAAUAUAGAGCCACAGCCAACUGCAAUGAAAUUCCUCUUCAGAUGCAUUGGUUAUAAAUGACUAGUACGUCCUAUCAUGGUGCAGCUGAUUGAGGGUUGGUAACUGUCUAAUUUCUUUUAUUAAUAGCCCCUUUUGUAGUGUCUGAGAAGAUUACGCAGGCUUCGGUGGCUAGAUCCCAGAACACGGAUUCCCAUAUCUUCCUCGUGCCGAUUGCUCCACUUGAUCUCGAGGUGUUACCCAGACACUGCGUUGUUGUCUCUCGGCCUUCCGGGUUCUGCAUCAUAUUUGACAAGUAUAAUGUUGUUCUGUUUCUUAUUUUAUUUUUUCCCUUGCCCUUUAUCAAAAGUAUCUCUUUUUGCAAUCUUUUUUAUGAAGCAUCUACUUAUAUUUCUAAAGGAAAAUUUUUACAAAGGCUGCUUUGUGUCUACACUCUGUGAGACUAGGCUUUUUAUGUGGUCCCAAAUUUCGUUGGAGUUUGCCUUUAAUGAGUGCCGUUUAAUGGUGUGAUGCGCUGCAAUAAAAUUGACAGUGCUAACUUAUGUGCUAUGCAAGACAAAUACUUAAAACAAACAAAGUGGGCAUGAAAAUAUUGCUGCUUGGUGUUAAAGGGGGCACUAGGCAAUGACAUAACAGAGGCCUUUCAUGAAAAUAUUGUCAAUAUUGGCGAUGUCGUAGCUUUUGUAAUGUCGCAUGCAACCAUUUGGGACUCUGUUGAAGCAACAGUAAGCAAGCUCUGGGAUACCUUGUAAGCUUUUUGCAUGGCAUUACCCCCCUUCUACUGCUUCCGGUUUUGUUACUGUGUAAAAUGUCUAGAGCAGUGGCAUCACACGCACGGCACGUUCGGUUCUUGAACGUGCCGAGACUAGCUUGAAAAUGUAUUGUACAGGUUAUAUGUGAAUUUUGCCUUUAGGUGUGGCUUCAGAGCAGCGCGACUUUCACUUUAUAGUGUGCCUUUAUCGCAUUCUGCCAUAUGCUGCCGUUAUUUCCCCACCUAAAGCAAAAUUAGCACAUAGCCCAGGCUCUGCUUUUAAGGUGGGGGAGGAGGUGACUUCGAGGCUUAGGAUUCUGGGUGAAAAACCUUGCCUUAUAAUCAAAUAAAUAUGGUAAUGUUUGUUUUAUCUCAAGCCAUAUGAACCUGUCAAAUGCAUGGUGCUUAACUUCAAUUAUCUGCAGCGAAUUGAGUGGAAAAAUGUGUUGUUCUUUUUUGAGAUUUUGUAAGGUUUAACAUUUUCAUGUGGGCUGCUUGGCACAUUUUGUAUGUCGAUGUUUAACAGCACUAGAAAGACAAGCACAUAAAUAAAAUGUGUGAUGUACACAGACGCCACUGUGCUACUGAUAAUUUGUUGUGUUAUUGGUUUACACAGAUAUCUGUCUAGCUCUUAAUGGAUAGUAAAUUAAUUAUAAUAAGGUGAGGUUCUAAAAUAAAAUUUCAAGGUUUGGAAUGGAUCUGUUGUACUGAGCAUAGUAGUGCGACAUGUCAACAAACUAAAGACGAAGAACAGCUAGUCAUUGCUCAGUAAAAUUCCUGCACCAGCUCCCUGUAAUUUUGCCGGUUGUAGCAGCAUAUGGUCAAUCAUAAGUAAUUGUGCGAUAAUGUGAAUAAAUUAGAUAUCAGUAAACAAAAUUUGCAAUGCACUACAUUCGUUAGCAAGCCAACUCGGCUCUUUGUUUGGUGGUUGACAACAAAUUGGAAGUCGCAUAGCUUGAGGUGUAGAUAAGAUAUCUGGAGAAGUGUAACUGGUUGUAAACUCCUGUCAUCUUCCAAACUCUUGUCACUUUCUUCCCUUUUUAUCUACAUAAAGCUGCAUUGCUCCUGGUCUAUCAUCUACUGUUCAGCAAACAGCCAAAUUGGUGUCAGUGCACUGGGUGAACUAAAACAGAUUUUUGUAAGAGACAUUGUCGUGUUUUUAACGAAUUGAACUUAAGAGGCAUUCAGUCAGUCAUUCAAGCAUUGCAGUCAGUAAUUAAUUUUGUCAGUGUUUAUACAAGGAAAUAGCCAGAAUAAGGGAUCUCCCUAGCAGUAGUGAAAGAAGGCGCUAGUAGUUUAUUGUAAAGCAGUAAGAAGGGCAAUGUUGGUGGCAGUGAGCUUGAUAUGGAUUACAGAGAGAAGCAGGUAGUGUGAUCUAGGGACCAUGUGACAUCUGGGGAGGGUACAGUGGUGAUGCUUGCACGUGCAAGUUACAAUGGCAAGUUGAAUAUUACCAUUCAAGAGCCUUAAUGAUGGUAGAAAAGCACUUGGUAUGCUUUUGCACAUGAGGGCUUUGUGCCCCUCAACUUGGGACAACUGCCACCACAGCUCAAUUAAUAUAGCAUUGUAUGCAUUGAUGCUUGAAGUUUAUUGAAAGUGAGAUGUAAUAUAAACACUGCUUGCUUUGGUUCAGUUCCAGGUCAUUCUUAUGAGGAUGAAUAUAUUGUUCUGGGUAUGCGUUAAUAGAAAAAAAUACUUGCGCACUUUGCCCUGAGUUUUUGAACAAAGCUUCAUUUAGUGUGCGUAUGGCUUUUGCUCCAUGUCGUCUGCUACAGCUGUCAAACAGAAGUACCUCGAGCAUCCUUUGCUAGGGGCGCCUCACUGUAUUGGUGCUCACUGCCUGUAGAGGAUGUUGUGUUUCAUUAGUGCUGCUGACCAGUAAACAUGGUUGAGAAGUGCACUUGAACAUUGUCAUAUCUGAUAUUCAUCAUAAGCAUAUAUUUGUUGCAUGCUGAUAUUAACAACACACAUUUUUAUGUUUACUUAAGUAUGCUUGAUAAUUUGUUAUGUCCAUGUUUGUUAUACUAAGGUUUGGUUUUAUUUGUAAUGAAACAUGCUUGCUAAUUGCUAGUAGGACUGCAAUUGGGGCCAGCUGGUUAUACAUUGCGUUGGAUGAAUGCACUGUUUUCUUUAAGAGUGCAAACUGUGUGAACGCCACAGAGAGCUCAAACACUUUGUGGUUUGUGGUCUGUUCCAGUUUAAAGUUGUUAAUAUGCAAAACAACAUGUCUAUCCAUUCCUAUGCAUUGAUAUUGUUGUAAUAAGGGUCAGUAGUACUUAGCUCUUUAUUCAAGGUCUGUAGUGUUUUUUUUUUUAACCUUUUGUCAGUCUUGGCACAACACAUUGACAGUGUUCCUUUCCUCUCUCUCCCCACAUGCCUCAACAAAGCCGACUGGCACAGCAACCACCUCGAAGCAUGGGCUGCCACAGGCGUGGCUGCAAGCCAACCUGUAGACAGUGGCAGGCCCUCGGAAGCUGACAGGACCGACGCCUUGAUGUGCAGCCAUUGUGGCUUCAUGAGCUACAGCGAAGCUGGCCUUGUGGAGCAUCAGCGAGUCCUCCACACAGGGCCUCUCCUUGACCCAGUGGCAGGUUACCGGUGCCAGUUUUGCCCAUGCUCGUUCUCGCACCGCGACCGCCUGCUGUGCCACCUGGAGAAGCACACCGGCUUGGGUUUCCUGCGCUGCUUUGUGUGUGGAAAGAAAUUCUCGAGUAUGAACCACCUGGUGCGCCACGUCAAGACGACGCACAGCAGAGUCGAGCGCUUCCCCUGCCACCUGUGCCCGAGCAAGUUCUCGCGCAAGGAUACCCUUGUUGCGCACAUUCGGAAGCACCAGAUCGACAUUGCCAAGCAUUGAUAUGGUGGACUAGAGCCAUGUUUCACGAAAAUGCAUCAGCUGAGCAUGGUGAGCAGUGCAAAUGACAGGACAAAAUGGUGAGCCGAAUCCCACAGCAACUUCGAAGCCUGGGCUGCCACAGGUGCUACCGCAAGCCAAGCCACAGACAGUGGCAGGGCCUUGGAAGGUGACAGGGUCGAUGUCUUGAAGUGCAGCCAUUGUGACUUCAUGGGUUAUAGUGAAGCUGUCCUUGUGGAGCACCAGCUGGUAGUCCAUACAGUCCCUCUCCCUGAUCCGGUGGCAGGUUACCGGUGCCAGUUCUGCCCGUCCAAGUUUUCCCAACAUGACCGCCUUCUGUGCCACCUGGAAAGGCACAGCGGCUCGGGCUCCUUUCGCUGCUUCGUGUGCGCGAAGAAGUUCUCGAGCGAGAGGCACCUCGUGCGCCACGUCAAGACAACGCAUAGCAGAGUCGAGAGCUUCCCCUGCCACCUGUGCCCAAGCAAGUUUUCCCGCAAGGACAGCCUUGUUGCGCACAUUCGGAAGCACCAGAUCGACAUUGCCAAGUGUUGACACGGUGAAGCAUGGCCACAUUUCCCGAAAUUGCGACUGUGGUGAACAGCACAAACGACAGGACAAGUGGUGAGGUAAACAAUGAGACUAAUGCACCCUUAUCUUAUCCCCUGCCCUGUUGUCUGUACUGUUCUCUAUGUCAAACACAAGUGCACUGUCCCAGCUUUCGAACUGUCAUAUCCUUAACAUUGUCACUGGGUUUGUUCAAAUAACAUAGUUUCUUAAUCUAAUCAAAUAUGAAUGUUGGGAAAAGGUGAGUUUGAAUAUCAGAUUGAAUGGUCAAUAUUUGCUUGCAAGAAAGGAAGAGCUCAAUUUUACCGGAUAAGACAUGUUAAUGUUCACCAAGAAAAGCUAUUGUUUGUGUAAACUGACAUAAUAAAUAUGCCUGUUGUCUAAGAAUGAAACAUCCGUGGUGAAGUACGAAUUUUAUACCUCUGCCACAUCGACAGUUUCCAAGUCCUUUAAAGGGACACUACAGAGAAAAAUGAUUUCCUUUGUAUCAGUAAAUUACCUUUCUACAACAUCAAAAACGCCACUCUUACCACGAUAAGAGGCUUAGCAAGCCAGAAAAAGCGCAACAACCAAAGACGGGUGUCGACACCUCCUUGAACUUCCAACACCAGCUUGCUAUGAUGUCAUGGGCUUUGACACCGUCUGUUAGGGCCUGGUUCAUUCUUUAGCAGUAAAGCUAUAGUCAUUGUGUUCUAAAGGAGCCAAAAAUUGAACGAGUUUCAAGAACAUUUUGCUAAGCCAAUGGUGCCUAAAUACGAAAAAAAAUAUACAUGGAAAUCUGUGACGUCACCGUGACGUACGGCAUUGGGGAUUCGUUGCAAAAUUCAAGAACCGAAACUUUCUCUUCUCUUAAUCAACCUGUUAUUUUGAAAUUAAUGACAACAUUGUUCUCAAAGAACACUUUAUACAUCUAAACUGAUUUAGUGUGUUGCUUUAGCGUCCCUUUAAACCAAAUGGUAUCUUUGACUGCAUUUUUUGCAGUACUCUGGGAGUCUUACAAAUUCAUGUAAGACAGCUCUGUAGUUAUA